UAUCAUAAUUGCGCACAGUUCGUGGAUCACUGCUAUAGAACACGUUCAAUUUUUGAAGAUGAGCAAACAUCUUUCACAUCUGACUAAGAUAACCAAGUGUAUGAUAUUUUGUGUUCCUAUUCAGCCAUGCAAAUUCUUAAAACUGGCACGAUAACACCAAUAAAAUUGAAUGCGGUGUUUUGUGGAUUGACAUAUGGCCCUCCGGACCAUGUUUGUCUGUCUGUUACCUUUGUGAUUGUUCUAUGCAUAAAUUUGGCGCGGCAGUACAUGUUCGGUAUAGCACGAAGAGUUUGACUUCGACACAAGAUAGGAGACUCAAAAAUGAAUUGUUUGCUGUUCACUCUGACUUUUCUUGUGCUGGUGGUCGCCCCUGCUGUUGCUUUGAAAUGUUACGUCCGCG
RNAcentral lists this unclassified non-coding RNA (400 nucleotides) under Stylophora pistillata. Its description in RNAcentral is "uncharacterized LOC111345489, transcript variant X4". Lineage: Eukaryota; Metazoa; Cnidaria; Anthozoa; Scleractinia; Pocilloporidae. The record is from RNAcentral.